UACAGAGGUCUCGAGCGUUGUUCGGAUUCAUUGGGCGUAAAGGGCGCGUAGGCGGCGGGGUAAGUCUGGUGUGAAAUCUAGGAGCUCAACUCCUAGACUGCACUGGAUACUGCUCUGCUGGAGGACUGGAGAGGAGACUGGAAUUCACGGUGUAGCAGUGAAAUGCGUAGAUAUCGUGAGGAAGACCAGUGGCGAAGGCGGGUCUCUGGACAGUUCCUGACGCUGAGGCGCGAAGGCCAGGGGAGCAAACGGG
Molecule: ribosomal RNA, 253 nt
Filed under: uncultured bacterium
Lineage: Bacteria
Description: partial 16S ribosomal RNA
Rfam family: Bacterial small subunit ribosomal RNA
Source: RNAcentral